AGUUUUGCAAGAUUCAAAAAUAGUUUCUCAUAUAAUGAACGAUAUAAUAUUUGUGCCAAUUGUUACUCAAUAUUGUGACCUAUUGCCCCUUCCUCCACCAGAUCCGUGUCUCCACCGGUCAAUUUAUCUGAUCUAUCAGUGUUCACCUAUUUGGCCAAACAAGGGUACUUAAAUCAAUGUGACUUUGUCAAGACUAUUAAAAAACUUUCAAAACUUCGCUUAAGACUCAUCAAUUACUAUGAGACCUUGUUCGUGACUCGGGAAUAGUGUGAAAUUCUCAGGAACUUCAGUAAAGUUUACCAGAUUCGCCUUCAUGUACUCAAAUUCAGUGUGACUUUAUCAAAACCUUCUUCAAAAUCUUCUUAAAAUAAACAAUUAACGGAAAUCCAGUUGCUCAAAACAUUUAUUUGAAUUUAAUAAACCGUCGUUUGUCACGGUCCGAAAUAUAAAGUGUUGCGGUACUAAUUGUGAUAAUUCUUGAAACCAAGAAAAUCGUAAUUACUCCUUUCUGCCAAAGCGUCAGGUUCCAGCAGUGGUGUAAAAUUCUCGACAUCGAUAAGGAAAACGUAUCACCUAAAACUGUCGUUUGCAGCAAACACUUUUAGCCACCUUCAAGAAAUUUCUCAAAGAGUUUUACCGACCUCUCCACCCCAUUUGUGUCUUCACCAUUGUCUGUGUCUCCACCGAAAGGGGGGUGGGUUAAUUUAUCCUUUAUAUGAACAAGAAGAUAAAGAUUAGAAAUAAGUUUCACUACAGUUUGAAGUAGAAGAACCAGAACCACAUUCAACUGUUUCCAUUUUCCUUAUAUACUCAAGGCACGAAAAUUAUUGCUACUAUUUGUAAUAAAAUAUUUUGCAACCGGGAAA
This is a long non-coding RNA of Folsomia candida, 866 nucleotides long. RefSeq lists it as uncharacterized. NCBI's taxonomy places the organism in Eukaryota, Metazoa, Arthropoda, Collembola, Entomobryomorpha, Isotomidae. The record is from RefSeq and is a predicted model, not a curated record. The transcript is spliced from 7 exons.